This 424-nucleotide ribosomal RNA is filed under the name uncultured prokaryote. RNAcentral describes it as "bacterial SSU rRNA". It matches the Rfam family "Bacterial small subunit ribosomal RNA", at positions 355 to 796 of the family's 1533-position model. The record is from RNAcentral.
UGGGGAAUAUUGGACAAUGCGGGAAACCGUGAUCCAGCAAUGCCGCGUGAGUGAUGAAGGCCUUAGGGUUGUAAAGCUCUUUUACCAGGGAUGAUAAUGACAGUACCUGGAGAAUAAGCUCCGGCUAACUCCGUGCCAGCAGCCGCGGUAAUACGGAGGGAGCUAGCGUUGUUCGGAAUUACUGGGCGUAAAGCGCGCGUAGGCGGUUUGCCAAGUUGAGGGUGAAAUCCCGGGGCUCAACCCCGGAACUGCCUUCAAAACUGGCCGACUUGAGUCCGGAAGAGGAGAGUGGAAUUCCCAGUGUAGAGGUGAAAUUCGUAGAUAUUGGGAAGAACACCGGUGGCGAAGGCGACUCUCUGGUCCGGUACUGACGCUGAGGUGCGAAAGCGUGGGGAGCAAACAGGAUUAGAUACCCCCGUAGUCC